RNAcentral lists this long non-coding RNA (460 nucleotides) under Nicotiana benthamiana. Its description in RNAcentral is "long non-coding RNA (NBEN_LNC031867)". The record is from RNAcentral. Lineage: Eukaryota; Viridiplantae; Streptophyta; Magnoliopsida; Solanales; Solanaceae.
AGAGCGGCGACGGCUGGAGGCGGCACCGAUGGCAGUGUUGCUGGUCGAUGAAGCAGCAGGUAAGGGAGGUUGACGAGAACGAAACGGAGACGAGGGUGGUCGUCCAUGGCUGUUGCGUGUGAAGGAGAAGAAGCAACAGCCAUGGCUAGGGUUUUCUAGGAAGAAGAAGAUGAGCUAGGUUUUUGGUCUUUCAAAAAUGAAGAAGGAGAUGUAACAAAAUGAAUUAAAACGGCUGAUGAGUUAAGUGUAGGGUUUGGGGUUAUUUGGGGCAAGGACCAAGUAGGGUAUGGGUCAUGGGCCGUGGGCCUGGUAUUGUUUUGGGUUGGAUAGAAGUGUUUUGGGCCUAAUUUUAAUUUCGAAAAUUGGCCCAAUUCGAGUUUGUUCUUCUUAUUUUUUUUGUUCUCUUUUCUUUUAAUUAAUAAAACUAAAAUUCUAAAUUAAGUUAUAAACUAAGUUUAAC